CACGUAGGGUGCGAGCGUUGUCCGGAAUUAUUGGGCGUAAAGAGCUCGUAGGCGGUGUGUCGCGUCGGCCGUGAAAACCUGCAGCUUAACUGUGGGCUUGCGGUCGAUACGGGCAUCACUGGAGUUCGGCAGGGGAGACUGGAAUUCCUGAUGUAGCGGUGAAAUGCGCAGAUAUCAGGAGGAACACCGGUGGCGAAGGCGGGUCUCUGGGCCGAUACUGACGUGAGGAGCGAAAGCGUGGGGAGCGAACAGGA
RNAcentral lists this ribosomal RNA (254 nucleotides) under uncultured bacterium. RNAcentral describes it as "partial 16S ribosomal RNA". It matches the Rfam family "Bacterial small subunit ribosomal RNA", at positions 524 to 777 of the family's 1533-position model. The record is from RNAcentral.